Molecule: ribosomal RNA, 467 nt
Filed under: uncultured bacterium
Lineage: Bacteria
Description: partial 16S ribosomal RNA
Rfam family: Bacterial small subunit ribosomal RNA
Source: RNAcentral
GACGAACGCUGGCGGCGUGCUUAACACAUGCAAGUCGAACGGAAAGGCCCUGCUUUUGUGGGGUGCUCGAGUGGCGAACGGGUGAGUAACACGUGAGUAACCUGCCCUUGACUUUGGGAUAACUUCAGGAAACUGGGGCUAAUACCGGAUAGGAGCUCCUGCUGCAUGGUGGGGGUUGGAAAGUUUCGGCGGUUGGGGAUGGACUCGCGGCUUAUCAGCUUGUUGGUGGGGUAGUGGCUUACCAAGGCUUUGACGGGUAGCCGGCCUGAGAGGGUGACCGGCCACAUUGGGACUGAGAUACGGCCCAGACUCCUACGGGAGGCAGCAGUGGGGAAUAUUGACAAUGGGCGGAAGCCUGAUGCAGCAACGCCGCGUGCGGGAUGACGGCCUUCGGGUUGUAAACCGCUUUCGCCUGUGACGAAGCGUGAGUGACGGUAAUGGGUAAAGAAGCACCGGCUAACUACGUG